AUGCCAAGUCCUGCAGAUGAGGAAGCCCCCCUGGUAGGCAACACUGGACCCAGGUGGGUGAGCAAGAGGGACCAGAGGUGGUCCCGGGGGGCCAGGCCAGCACGCACUGUGCUCGGAAGAUGUGCAGCUGGUGUGUCUGUGCCUUCCAGGGACUGGGCCGUGUUGGGACAGAGUGGGAGCGCCUCUCACACUGUGCCUCGGGGGUGGGGCCUCGCUCCCCUCGGCCUGGGACCCCCCUCCUGGCCAGGCAGUGGGGCAGGGAAGUGCCGCCCUCAGACGUCCCUGCCGGCGCCUGGCCUCCCCCUCAGACCAGCCCUCUCCCCUCUACCCCGCCUCCCCGUAAGGUUGCCAACCUGGGCCGGGCCAUCCACUUGCAGCUCUGCUCUGUCUGCAUCCCCCAAGCCAAGGAAAAGGCUCUGCACGCCAUCACCCUGCUGGCCCAGAACCACACCCCCGAGCUGGUGGCCACCUUCCUGGACUUCUCCGUACCCCUGGACAGGUGCCAGCCCCCCGCUGCCCUCAGCUCUGCCCUCCUGCCUGCCCCCUCACAGGGACCCCCAGGGCUCUGGGGGCAGGGAGGGAGCCCACGUACCCGUUCAUUUACCGCCCAGCUCCCGAGGCAGGCUCCGGGGAGGCACCGCUCACCAUCCAUCCUGCGGAUGUCACCCAUCCUACAGGUGUCGCCCACAGAACUUCCCGCCGCCGCCACAACCUCAAUCACUCACCUGUAGCCUCAGGGGGAGGGUGCCAGGCCCCGAGGUGUGCGCCAAGCAAGACCCCAGCCACCACCAAAGUCUCACCAUCCUUCCUGAUCCUCCAAGGACCUCCCUUUCCUCCCCGCCCCCCCCCCCCCCCCGCCGUGGCCACCCUGUAACUCUCAUGGCGCAGGGGGCGGGGGGGAGCUGGCUUUCUCGUGAAUUCCUCAGACCCCCAAGUCUGGAGGUGGGCCAGGGUCCUCUUCCUCCCCAAAAUCCCAGCUCUGAAGCCCAGGUAGGUGCUCAGUCUAGCCCCCCAGCUAUGCAUCCAUCAGGCACCUGCAUUGCAUCAUCCCUGGGUCCUUGA
This 1062-nucleotide long non-coding RNA is filed under the name Canis lupus familiaris (dog). Its description in RNAcentral is "lncRNA (ENSCAFG00040008666.1)". The record is from RNAcentral. Lineage: Eukaryota; Metazoa; Chordata; Mammalia; Carnivora; Canidae.